AUUGGGGCCAUCCUUACUGCUGAAGCAAUGCAGAUGUCGUAAUUUAUGAUUUCUUCUCCUGAGGGUUAGACUACAUUCUGGUCUCCAUUUUAACAUUCCUCUGGAUUCUUCAGAAGACAGUAGCAAAAAUAAAGCCUUUUCUGGAGUGUGUUAAAGAUCCAGAUCCUCAGCCAGUGUAAACCCAUUACCUGCCUUAAAGCUAAGUCAAUUUACACCAACUUUGGAUCUAGCCAAAUGCUUUUUUAAAUGACUGUGGCAAUAUAUUGCGUGGAUGCAUAAUUAUCUUUCAAAUCAGUUUUAGUGCCUCAACAACAAAACCAGCAAAUUGCCAUGAAAAGGGAAAUUUAUAUACACUUUUUGUUUGUUUGUGUGUAUGUGGGUUUUUUCACUGAUACUUAUACCUCUUUUACAGAUCAGCUGUAUUGGGCAUGAAUUUCAGCUUUUCUGUUUUUCACCCAAAUCCAUAUGGCUGCCAAUCCUCAGGCCUAGCCUCCAGCAGUAUGCAGCCUACUUGGGCUUAUCCCCUGGGAGAGGAGCGAGUUUCAGCAGUGAAGAAGAAACAUCAGUGAUGCCUCCACCCCAGCCAAGCUGGCUUGUCCCUUGCCCAAGAUCUCGCUCCCAAAGGGCUCUUUCUCUUGUUGUUGUUUUUCUUUGAAACGCCUUCAUGUUAAGCUGGCUAAUUAUGAGACUCUCCUGACGUCUCACAUUGACCCUGGGCCAUGCUCCAGGAGUAACUGCCCAAGCCAGCCAAUCAUCCCAAGCCUGCUGCUCAUUAAAUGAAGCAUGAGGCAGUGGGAUCUCCAAAAGGCCUGGCCAUGAUGAGAACUGGGCAGGGCAUGAGAGAGAAAAGCCGCACACUAAUGGAUUAAUGAUUUAUUCUCCUGAUGUUAACAUUAAAGUUAUGAUCCACUUUCUACUAAAUCACAGCUAAUGUUAGCAGCAGAUGCAUCCUAUUAGAACAUGCAGUCCAGCCUUUGCCUGUGGGGGAUUGUCCCAUACAAUAGCUAUUCCAGUGCUAGACACAAUUAAAUUUUAUAAUAAUUUUUUGGUAAUUGUCUCUGUUUGUGUAUAUACGUAACGCUCAUCGGAGGGACACGUCUGUAUUAUGUCUGUAUUAUGUAGAUUUUGUUAUCUAGAGGCUCCAACUGUGAUCACGGCCCCAUUGUGCUAGCCACUGUACAGACGCACAGUGAGAGACAGUGCCUGGCUCAACAAAACUUGCUGUCCAAUAACUAGGGCAGAAUUAUUGCCUCCAGUUGACAGAUGGGUAAUGGAGGCACAGGGAAGUUAAAUGGCGUGAGAUAAGGUCACACAAGAAAUUCUGUGGCAGGACUUGGAACUGAACUCCAAUCUCCUGAGUAUCAGUCUAGUGUCACAACUACAAGUCACUCCUUCAAACAGCAGAGUGCACCUCUACGACAGCUUAUAAAUGCUAAUUAAUAUGUUAAAAUGAACUGUUCCUGAGUUAUCAAGGAACCAAGAAUUAUUUACAGAAGUUAUUCCAUGAACAAUUUUGAGUAACAAAUUAAAGGAAAGCUGAAACUGCUGGCAAUUUGUGAACACAAAACAAGGAGAUGAAUUCAUUGAAUAAGUCAGAGGUUCUCCACCAUUUUACGUUGUGGACUACAUCUUUAAAGAGUGAUUAUUUCUUGGACCCUGUCCUCUCUGAUUGGCUGUCAUGCAGCCCACCACUCUUCAUGGUCUCAUAACAUUUCUCUGGCAGCUACAGUAAUAACCUAUGUAUAACUGUAACAUUAGGACAUUAUUUCAUGUAUCUGUAGCUGUCUUUUAAUAGAAUUCAGUAGUUGCAAAAAGGCAGGAGGAGCCCGGACCAUGUGACCAGCCAGUUCUGCACAGAUCACAGUUUGGGAACCACUGAACUAGUCACUGUGAGUUAUUAAUUCAUCUCUGCUAAGAAGGCUGGUAUGAGUUCCAUUACAUAAACUGAUAAUGACGUUUGUCCCUUCAUUACCUAUGAUUAGGCAGUAUGGGAUCUGAGUCUGUUCGUGCAUUUUGCUGCAGGUUAGGCAGGUGAUAAUGAAGUCCAUGUUGUAGAAAUGGCUACUGUUGGAGUGCAAAGGAUUUAAGGUAGAAUAUUGUUAUGAGUUGGGUUAAACCUUGUUAUGAGUUGAAUUAAAACUGCACCGAAACUGGUGUACAAAUGUGCCCUUCACUUAAGUUUGCUAUAAGGGACAGUUAUGGAGUCAUACCUAAAACAAGGCCUAUUCAUCAUCGGCAGUACAUGCAAUGUGCCCAGCCAUUUAAUGGCGUCAUCAUCAACCAGGUGAAGAGCUGUAGCCAGCCGUCAAAAUAAGUCAGUGGGCACUCGACCCUGAUAUGCAACAUAGUCUGAAGUUGACUACAGCUGCAUCGCGGGUCAUUAGAUAAACAUCAUUUAAAGAGACUGUCCAUACAGUUACCCUGUCCUGUUCGAAAUCGGUUCGGAGACAACCACAGGUGCCUGGGCAGAUCAAAACCUGGUAGACAGGAGGCCUAAUAGGGGAUGUCUACGCUGCAAUAAAAAACCUGUGGCACUGAGUCUCA
This is a long non-coding RNA of Gopherus agassizii (Agassiz's desert tortoise), 2544 nucleotides long. The record is from Ensembl. Lineage: Eukaryota; Metazoa; Chordata; Testudines; Testudinidae.